AUGCUCUUUAAAAGGAAGAAAGUCAGCACUCCUCUUGACAGUAACAGAAAAUGCCCCUAGGCCUUAACAACAUGAACAUGGGUUUGUACUCCCACCAAUUUUU
Cricetulus griseus (Chinese hamster) is the source of this 103-nucleotide small nuclear RNA. NCBI's taxonomy places the organism in Eukaryota, Metazoa, Chordata, Mammalia, Rodentia, Cricetidae. The record is from Ensembl.